GCCUGGGUGGCUCAGUCGUUAAGCGUCUGACUUUGGCUCAGGUCAUGAUCUCACGGUUCGUGGGUUGAAAUCCCACUUAGGGCU
RNAcentral lists this transfer RNA (84 nucleotides) under Felis catus (domestic cat). It matches the Rfam family "tRNA". From Rfam's summary of the family: Transfer RNA (tRNA) molecules are approximately 80 nucleotides in length. The record is from Rfam by way of RNAcentral. Lineage: Eukaryota; Metazoa; Chordata; Mammalia; Carnivora; Felidae.